This 154-nucleotide ribosomal RNA is filed under the name fungal endophyte sp. AP267. Its description in RNAcentral is "5.8S ribosomal RNA". It matches the Rfam family "5.8S ribosomal RNA". From Rfam's summary of the family: 5.8S ribosomal RNA (5.8S rRNA) is a component of the large subunit of the eukaryotic ribosome. It is transcribed by RNA polymerase I as part of the 45S precursor that also contains 18S and 28S rRNA. The record is from RNAcentral. Lineage: Eukaryota; Fungi.
AACUUUUAACAACGGAUCUCUUGGUUUCUGGCAUCGAUGAAGAACGCGCGAAAUGCGAUAAGUAAUGUGAAUUGGCGAAUUCAGUGAAUCAUCGAUCUUGAACGCACUUGCGCCCGCCAGCAUUCUGGACGGGCCAGCCUGUUCGAGCGUCAUU